Molecule: long non-coding RNA, 1316 nt
Filed under: Homo sapiens (human)
Lineage: Eukaryota; Metazoa; Chordata; Mammalia; Primates; Hominidae
Description: TMEM161B divergent transcript
Source: RNAcentral
ACGCAGGACGUCCUCUAAAGCAACUUCCGUGGGUGCCAGGUUGUGGGCUGGGGGCGGUGCUGACCUUGAGAGAGCGGAGGAGGCGCAGGCGCAGCACAGUUUAAACUUGAUUUUGUGAGGGGACGAACAGCGUGACAAUUAAAAGAAGAUCUGGGAAUCAAAAGCUUCCUGAGGCCUUCACCAGAAGCAGAUGCUGGUGCCGUGCUUCUACAGCCUGCAGAACUGAAGGACUUUACAGCUUCUCUUUCGCAUAUCCAAAUUGCCAGCAUCACCGCUCUUGCACUCCAAGCCAUUAUUAAGUAAAGUAAAGAACACAAACACUGUGAUACUGCUACACUUGAUCUGAUAACCAAGAAGUCUACUAAGUGACUAACAGCAGAGCAACUGGGAACCUAAUUCUGACCAAAAAGGAGGAAUUGUUUGGCUAAUUGGAAGUGACAGAAACCUUGGGAGAAAGCAACCGCAUACCAAGGAUAAUUAUAAGAAGAAGAGAAGACAUGGAGAAGAGGAGGGAGUAGUUGUGACCGUGGAGGCAGAGAAUGGAGUAAUGUGAUCAUAAAUCAAGGAAUGCUGACAGCCACUAAAGCUGGAGAAGGCCAAGGACAGAUAUUCAAUCCUCCCGUAGAAGUACAGCCCUGCUAAUGCAUUGAUUUUGGACUUCUGGCCUCAGAACUGUCUGGAAAGCAUGGAAAUUUGUAUCUUCAUUCACUUUUGUUUUCAUGGACUCUUUUCAUGUUUGAACUUUUCAUGGUAUGAGCUGUUUUAUAAUCUAUAAUAUGGAAUGUUUCUCAUACGAAUGUUUUUCUUAUUGAAGAAUGCCAUAGAAAUAAGGGUGUGAGGUAUACUUACUUGACAGGAGAAUUUUACUCCUUUUAUUUUAUUUACUUAUUUAUUUUUAAGACGGAGUCCUGCUGUGUUGUCCAGGCUGGUCUUGAACCCCUGGACUCAAACGAUCUUUCUCCUUGGCCUCCCAAAGUUCUGGGAUUACAGGUAUGAGCUACAGUGCCCUGAGAGUCCUUUUUAAAGUAGUGAAUGCUCAAACAUGGAAUUAAAUUUAGGCAAAGCUCACUUUUAUUUAUACAUAAAACAACUUCAGCCAUGUACCUCAUAACGAUAUUUUGGCCAAUGUCUGACCUUAUAUACAAUGGUUGUCCUGUACGAUUAUAAUGAAGCUGAAAAUUUUCUAUUGCCUAGUAACAUUGUAGUAAUUGUAAUGUAGCACAACCUAUCACACGUGUUUGUAGUGAUGCUGGUGUAAACAAACCGACUGCAUUGCCAGUCUAGUAUAAAAGUCUAGCACACACAAUUAUCCACAG